This 352-nucleotide ribosomal RNA is filed under the name uncultured bacterium. Its description in RNAcentral is "SSU rRNA". It matches the Rfam family "Bacterial small subunit ribosomal RNA", at positions 26 to 371 of the family's 1533-position model. The record is from RNAcentral.
AGAACGAACGCUGGCGGCGUGGAUAAGACAUGCAAGUCGGACGCGAUUUAUCCGGUUAGCAAUAACUGGGUGGAUUGAGUGGCGAAAGGGUGCGUAACACGUGGGAAUUUACCAAGAAGUGGGGAAUAGCUCGACGAAAGUCGAAUUAAUACCGCAUGUGAUCGUAAGAUCAAAGCCGGGGACCGCAAGGCCUGGCGCUUUUUGAGAAGCCCGCGGCCCAUCAGCUAGUUGGCGAGGUAAUGGCUCACCAAGGCUAUGACGGGUAGCUGGUCUGAGAGGACGACCAGCCACACUGGAACUGAGACACGGUCCAGACACCUACGGGUGGCAGCAGUCGAGAAUUUUUUCACAA